AAACUGGGUCUAAUACCGGAUAUGACCAUGGGAUGCAUGUCUUGUGGUGGAAAGCUUUUGCGGUGUGGGAUGGGCCCGCGGCCUAUCAGCUUGUUGGUGGGGUUAUGGCCUACCAAGGCGACGACGGGUAGCCGGCCUGAGAGGGUGACCGGCCACACUGGGACUGAGAUACGGCCCAGACUCCUACGGGAGGCAGCAGUGGGGAAUAUUGCACAAUGGGCGCAAGCCUGAUGCAGCGACGCCGCGUGAGGGAUGACGGCCUUCGGGUUGUAAACCUCUUUCAGUAUCGACGAAGCGCAAGUGACGGUAGGUACAGAAGAAGGACCGGCCAACUACGUGCCAGCAGCCGCGGUAAUACGUAGGGUCCGAGCGUUGUCCGGAAUUACUGGGCGUAAAGAGCUCGAAGGUGGUUUGUCGCGUUGUUCGUGAAAACUCACAGCUCAACUGUGGGCGUGCGGGCGAUACGGGCAGACUGGAGUACUGCAGGGGAGACUGGAAUUCCUGGUGUAGCGGUGGAAUGCGCAGAUAUCAGGAGGAACACCGGUGGCGAAGGCGGGUCUCUGGGCAGUAACUGACGCUGAGGAGCGAAAGCGUGGGGAGCGAACAGGAUUAGAUACCCUGGUAGUCCACGCCGUAAACGGUGGGUACUAGGUGUGGGUUUCCUUCCUUGGGAUCCGUGCCGUAGCUAACGCAUUAAGUACCCCGCCUGGGGAGUACGGCCGCAAGGCUAAAACUCAAAGAAAUUGACGGGGGCCCGCACAAGCGGCGGAGCAUGUGGAUUAAUUCGAUGCAACGCGAAGAACCUUACCUGGGUUUGACAUGCACAGGACGCUGGUAGAGAUAUCAGUUCCCUUGUGGCCUGUGUGCAGGUGGUGCAUGGCUGUCGUCAGCUCGUGUCGUGAGAUGUUGGGUUAAGUCCCGCAACGAGCGCAACCCUUAUCUUAUGUUGCCAGCGCGUAAUGGCGGGGACUCGUGAGAGACUGCCGGGGUCAACUCGGAGGAAGGUGGGGAUGACGUCAAGUCAUCAUGCCCCUUAUGUCCAGGGCUUCACACAUGCUACAAUGGCCGGUACAAAGGGCUGCGAUGCCGUGAGGUGGAGCGAAUCCUUUCAAAGCCGGUCUCAGUUCGGAUCGGGGUCUGCAACUCGACCCCGUGAAGUCGGAGUCGCUAGUAAUCGCAGAUCAGCAACGCUGCGGUGAAUACGUUCCCGGGCCUUGUACACACCGCCCGUCACGUCAUGAAAGUCGGUAACACCCGAAGCCGGUGGCCUAACCCCUUGUGGGAGGGAGCCGUCGAAGGUGGGAUCGGCGAUUGGGACGAAGUCGGAACAAGGUA
Molecule: ribosomal RNA, 1335 nt
Filed under: metagenome
Description: bacterial SSU rRNA
Rfam family: Bacterial small subunit ribosomal RNA
Source: RNAcentral